GACGAACGCUGGCGGCGUGCUUAACACAUGCAAGUCGAACGGAAAGGCCCUGCUUUUGUGGGGUGCUCGAGUGGCGAACGGGUGAGUAACACGUGAGUAACCUGCCCUUGACUUUGGGAUAACUUCAGGAAGCUGGGGCUAAUACCGGAUAGGAGCUCCUGCUGCAUGGUGGGGGUUGGAAAGUUUCGGCGGUUGGGGAUGGACUCGCGGCUUAUCAGCUUGUUGGUGGGGUAGUGGCUUACCAAGGCUUUGACGGGUAGCCAGCCUGAGAGGGUGACCGGCCACAUUGGGACUGAGAUACGGCCCAGACUCCUACGGGAGGCAGCAGUGGGGAAUAUUGCACAAUGGGCGGAAGCCUGAUGCAGCAACGCCGCGUGCGGGAUGACGGCCUUCGGGUUGUAAACCGCUUUCGCCUGUGACGAAGCGUGAGUGACGGUAAUGGGUAAAGAAGCACCGGCUAACUACGUG
This 468-nucleotide ribosomal RNA is filed under the name uncultured bacterium. Its description in RNAcentral is "partial 16S ribosomal RNA". It matches the Rfam family "Bacterial small subunit ribosomal RNA", at positions 28 to 507 of the family's 1533-position model. The record is from RNAcentral.